UACGUAGGGUGCGAGCGUUGUCCGGAAUUACUGGGCGUAAAGAGCUCGUAGGUGGUUUGUCGCGUUGUUCGUGAAAACCGGGGGCUUAACCCUCGGCGUGCGGGCGAUACGGGCAGACUGGAGUACUGCAGGGGAGACUGGAAUUCCUGGUGUAGCGGUGAAAUGCGCAGAUAUCAGGAGGAACACCGGUGGCGAAGGCGGGUCUCUGGGCCGAUAUUGACGCUGAGGAGCGAAAGCGUGGGGAGCGAACAGG
This 253-nucleotide ribosomal RNA is filed under the name uncultured bacterium. Its description in RNAcentral is "partial 16S ribosomal RNA". It matches the Rfam family "Bacterial small subunit ribosomal RNA", at positions 524 to 776 of the family's 1533-position model. The record is from RNAcentral.